GGACAUAGUUUAGUGGUAGAGCGCUUGCCUAACAUGCAUGAGGCCUUGAGUUCAGUUCCCAGCACUAUGGUUA
Molecule: transfer RNA, 73 nt
Filed under: Marmota monax (woodchuck)
Lineage: Eukaryota; Metazoa; Chordata; Mammalia; Rodentia; Sciuridae
Description: tRNA.Val
Source: RNAcentral